Molecule: ribosomal RNA, 338 nt
Filed under: uncultured bacterium
Lineage: Bacteria
Description: bacterial SSU rRNA
Rfam family: Bacterial small subunit ribosomal RNA
Source: RNAcentral
GACGAACGCUGGCGGCGUGCUUAACACAUGCAAGUCGAGCGGUAAGGCCCUUUCGGGGGUACACGAGCGGCGAACGGGUGAGUAACACGUGGGUGACCUGCCCUCAGCUCUGGGAUAAGCCUGGGAAACCGGGUCUAAUACUGGAUAUGACUCCAUGACGCAUGUUGUGGGGUGGAAAGCCUUGUGCGGCUGAGGAUGGGCCCGCGGCCUAUCAGCUUGUUGGUGGGGUGANGGCCUACCAAGGCGACGACGGGUAGCCGGCCUGAGAGGGCGACCGGCCACACUGGGACUGAGACACGGCCCAGACUCCUACGGGAGGCAGCAGUGGGGAAUCUUGC